UAUACCUUCGGGUGUAAUGAGAGUGGCAGACGGGUGAGUAACGCGUAGAUAUCUGCCUGUAUGGUAGGGGAUAGCUCAUCGAAAGGUGGGGUAAUACCGCAUAGUCCUUACGAGGUAAAGGCGAAAGCCGCUAUAAAAGAAGUCUGCGUCCUAUCAGGUAGUUGGUGGGGUAAAGGCCUACCAAGCCGAUGACGGGUAGCCGGUGUGAAAACACGACCGGCCACAAGGUCACUGAGACACGGGACCUACAUCUACGGAUGGCAGCAACCGGGAAUUUUGCGCAAUGGGCGAAAGCCUGACGCAGCGACACCGCGUGUGGGAAGAAGUUCUUCGGAAUGUAAACCACUGUGGCAGAGGAAGAAUUUUUGACUGUACUCUGCUAGAAAGCACCUGCUAACCACGUGCCAGAAGCCUCGGUUAAUACGUGGGGUGCAAGCGUUAUCCGGAUUUACUGGGCCUUAAAGAGUUCCGUCGGCGUUCUUUGUAAGUUUACUUGUUUUAAGCCC
This 506-nucleotide ribosomal RNA is filed under the name uncultured bacterium. RNAcentral describes it as "bacterial SSU rRNA". It matches the Rfam family "Bacterial small subunit ribosomal RNA", at positions 73 to 604 of the family's 1533-position model. The record is from RNAcentral.